Molecule: ribosomal RNA, 399 nt
Filed under: Escherichia coli
Lineage: Bacteria; Pseudomonadati; Pseudomonadota; Gammaproteobacteria; Enterobacterales; Enterobacteriaceae
Also listed under: 1 other name
Description: partial 23S ribosomal RNA
Rfam family: Bacterial large subunit ribosomal RNA
Source: RNAcentral
UCCUGACUGACCGAUAGUGAACCAGUACCGUGAGGGAAAGGCGAAAAGAACCCCGGCGAGGGGAGUGAAAAAGAACCUGAAACCGUGUACGUACAAGCAGUGGGAGCACGCUUAGGCGUGUGACUGCGUACCUUUUGUAUAAUGGGUCAGCGACUUAUAUUCUGUAGCAAGGUUAACCGAAUAGGGGAGCCGAAGGGAAACCGAGUCUUAACUGGGCGUUAAGUUGCAGGGUAUAGACCCGAAACCCGGUGAUCUAGCCAUGGGCAGGUUGAAGGUUGGGUAACACUAACUGGAGGACCGAACCGACUAAUGUUGAAAAAUUAGCGGAUGACUUGUGGCUGGGGGUGAAAGGCCAAUCAAACCGGGAGAUAGCUGGUUCUCCCCGAAAGCUAUUUAGGU